RNAcentral lists this ribosomal RNA (2734 nucleotides) under Macrocystis integrifolia. RNAcentral describes it as "23S ribosomal RNA". It matches the Rfam family "Bacterial large subunit ribosomal RNA". The record is from RNAcentral. Lineage: Eukaryota; Phaeophyceae; Laminariales; Laminariaceae.
UAAUAUACUAGUUUAGUUUGGAGUGAAUGCCUUGGAAGAAAAAUAUAGGCGCGGACAAUCGCGAAAGUGUUGACACGAGGAAAUCCUGUGACGUUAACCAACCUAAAAUGGGAAACCGGGGCUAAAAAGCCCACUGCGUAGUCAGUAUCAAGGGGAAGUGAAACAUCUUAGUACCCUGUAGACCAAAUCAACCGAGAUAUCGUUAGUAGUGGUGAGCGAAAGCGAUAAAAAGGCAAAACGAUAUUAUUUAUAUAAAGAAUGAAAAGAAUUUUUAUUUUACAAUAAAAAUUCUACCCUAGAAGGUGUUAGUCCUGUAAUUCUUUUUAAUUCGUGAAAUUAAGACAAGGCAAGUUUACCUUGUUUGAGUAUUGGGGGACCACCCUCAAAGCCUAUAAUUAUUUUUCUUACCGAUAGUGAACAAGUACCGUGAGGGAAAGGUGAAAAAGAAGUUGUGACAGUGCAAAGAUCCUGAAAUUCCAUAUUUGAGUCGAAGCUAUAAAAAGCAACGGCAUACCUUUUGUAUAAUGGGCAAGUGAAUCUUAAUAAAAGGCAAGCUUAAGUUAAUUAAAAACGUAGGCGAAGAUAAAUCGAGUCUUGUAUGGCGUUUUAAAGUCGUUUGUUAAGUACCCGAAACCGUCUGAUCUAAGCUUGAGCAGGCUGAUAUUGUAGUGGCAACAUUCUUUGGAGGGCCGAACCCGUGUAUGUGGCAAAAUACUGGGAUGACUUGAGUUUAGGGGUGAAAGGCCAAUCAAAGUCGGUGAUAGCUGGAUUUCUGCGAAAUCUAUUGAAGUAGAGCGUCUUAAAUAGUAAAUCUGGGGUAGAGCACUGUAUAAGCAAGGGGGAAAUUUUUUCUUACUAAACUUUGGCAAACUCCGAAUACAGAUUUUUCAUUUAGGGCAGACAGAGUAUGUAUGCUAAGAUUCAUACUCAAGAGGGAAACAGCCCAGACUGAAGGCUAAGGUCCGUAAAAUAGUUUCAGUGGUAAAGGUGACUUUUGCUCUUAGACCGUCAGGAGGUAGGCUUGGAAGCAGCCAUCCUUUUAAGAUAGCGUAACAGCUCACUGACCUAGAGUAAAAGUCCCGCCAAUUUUGAGGGCUUAAAAUUAUUACCGAAGCUUCAGACAAAUUUUUUUGUGGUAGCAGAACAUUCCGUAGGUUGUAGAAGUUUUGACGUAAGUUAAUAUCAAGAUAUCGGAAGUGAGAAUACUUGCAUAAGUAGCAUAAAACAAUGAAAUUAAAGCAUUGUGGCCGUAAGUCCAAGGUUUACGAUCUUAAGUAAAACUGGGUCGUGAGAGGGUAAUACCUCGAUUUAAAACGGUCCCUAAGCUGUUAAGCCAAGGCUUGCGGUAAUGGGUAAGAUUAAACUGUUUAAAGUUGCUGACGAAAAAUUCACCUUAUUCUUGAAUAUGUCAAGGGUGAGUUAUUUUUUCCAAGAAAAAGGCACUUUAUUUAUACCGUACCUUAAACCGCCUCAGGUGGACGGGUGGAGAACACUAAGGCCUUGAGAAAACCCUAUUGAAGGAACUCGGCAAAAUGACUCUGUAACUUCGGAAUAAGGAGUAAAGACAUGUAGCGUAAGCUUUUGUCUUUGUCACAAAAUCGGGGGUGGCGGCUGUUUAUUAAAAACACAGGUCUCUGCUAACUCGUAAGAGGAUGUAUAGGGACUGACACCUGCCCGGUGCCGGUAGGUGAAGCUUUGAUGUUUACGCAUUGAAGUCAAACCCCGGUAAACGGCGGCUGUAACUAUGACGGUCCUAAGGUAGCGAAAUUCCUUGUCGGGUAAGUUCCGACCCGGUAACUAUGACGGUCCUAAGGUAGCGAAAUUCCUUGUCGGGUAAGUUCCGACCCGCAUGAAUGGUGUAACGACUUCCCCGCUGUCUCCAAUAGGGACUCAGUGAAAUUACAUAGGUCGUGAAGAUGCGGCCAUCCUGCAGCUGGACGGAAAGACCCCGUGCACCUUUACUAUAAGCAAAUAUUGUAAGUCAAAAACUCUAGUGUAGAAUAGGUGGGAGCUUAUGAUUUUUUUGUUAGAGAUUGAUUAGGCAAUAGUGAAAUACCACCCUGAGAUUUGUUGUCUUACUAACUAAGGGACAGUGUUUGCUGGGUAGUUUGACUGGGGCGGUCGCCUCCUAAAGAGUAACGGAGGCAUACAAAGGUAGGUUCAUCUCCUUAUAAGGGGAAUCGAGUAUAAUGAUAUAAGCCUGCUUGACUGAAAGAAAGACAUUUCGAUCAGAGACGCAAGUCGGUCAUAAUGAUCCGGUGGUUCUUUGUGGAAAGGCUAUCGCGCAAUGGAUAAAAGGUACGCCGGGGAUAACAGGCUAAUGAUCCUCUAGAGCUCCUAUCGACGGGUUCGUUUGGCACCUCGAUGUCGACUCAUCACAUCCUGGAGCUGGAAAAGGUUCCAAGGGUUCGGCUGUUCGCCGACGAAAGUGGUACGUGAGUUGGGUUUAGAACGUCGUGAGACAGUUUGGUCCCUAUCUUCUGUGGGUGUUUGAAAAUUCCGAGGACUAGACCUUAGUACGAGAGGACCGGGAAAACUCGAUCCCUUGUGUUCCGGUUGUUCCCGAAGGGGCAUCGCCGGGUAGCUACAUCGAGAAGAGAUAAUCGACCAUUAGGCGAGAAACUUCCCUCUAGUAAAAUUUUCGUAAUGGGGGUGGAAGAUUACCACUUAGAUAGGCGGGGUGUGUAAUAGCCGUGAGGUUUUCAGCUGACCCGUACUAAUCCCUAAAAAAUAA